This 503-nucleotide ribosomal RNA is filed under the name uncultured bacterium. RNAcentral's name for it is "partial 16S ribosomal RNA". It matches the Rfam family "Bacterial small subunit ribosomal RNA", at positions 29 to 507 of the family's 1533-position model. The record is from RNAcentral.
AACGAACGCUGGCGGCGUGCCUAACACAUGCAAGUCGAACGAGAAAGGGGCUUCGGCUCCGAGUAAAGUGGCGCACGGGUGAGUAACACGUGGGUAACCUGCCUCUAAGAUUGGGAUAACUCGUCGAAAGAUGAGCUAAUACCGAAUAAGACCACAGUUCCCGCGGGAACAGGGGUCAAAGGUAGCCUCUGCUUGCAAGCUAUCACUUAGAGAUGGGCCUGCGCACCAUUAGCUAGUUGGUAGGGUAACGGCCUACCAAGGCAAAGAUGGUUAGCUGGUCUGAGAGGAUGAUCGGCCACACUGGAGCUGGGACACGGUCCAGACUCCUACGGGAGGCAGCAGUGGGGAAUAUUGCGCAAUGGGCGAAAGCUUGACGCAGCAACGCCGCGUGAGUGAUGAAGGCCUUCGGGUCGUAAAGCUCUGUCGGGAGGAACGAAUGCUCCUGAGGUUAACAGCCUCGGGAGGUGACGGUACCUUCAAAGGAAGCACCGGCUAACUCUGUG